RNAcentral lists this long non-coding RNA (1673 nucleotides) under Capsicum annuum. RNAcentral's name for it is "long non-coding RNA (CANN_LNC001477)". Lineage: Eukaryota; Viridiplantae; Streptophyta; Magnoliopsida; Solanales; Solanaceae. The record is from RNAcentral.
ACCACCACUCUCUCUCUCAAAACCUCUCCCACUGCCAGCUCCCUCCGAUCUCCCUCCCCAUUGCUGAUCUGCCAGCAACUACGGCAACAACACUGCCUCCCUCUGUUUGCCCCUCUGGUGAAACCAACCGCCGCCGUUAACGCCCAACACUGGCGUUGUUCCCCCUCACCUCCUCCUUCUCCCCAUUCACCAUCCCUCCGGCGCCUCCAGCCGCCUCAAAUCCAUCUUGAACCACCGAAGAAGACAACUACGCCAGUGCUACCGCUCCCUCCUCCGGUGCCAUCCUCUCCAACGAAACCAGUGAACCAGCGCCGUCCUCCACCGCCGAAAUAGCCACCCAGAGGCUUCACCAGUCCGCCACUGCUUCGAGCCAGCAACCUGCACCACCACAACGAUACCAACAGCCAUCGCUUCGCCAAAAAAUGAUGGGUUAUCAAGAACCCAUCCUAGGUUUGAUUCCAUAUUUUAUUUUUUUCUCUUCUAACAUGACAGAUUUAUGUGAUUAGAAGUUAAUUUGAUUAAGCAUGUUGAUAAAAUAUUGUGUGCUUUAGUUUGAUUAAUUAUCUGUGUUGUUAUACAUGAGGAUUCUCUAAUUUUAUUAUAUUAUUGGGGAUUUCUUUGUGUUUUUUUUAAUUGUUAUAUGUGGGUAUGUUUUGACGUAGUUCGUAUCGAAAAAUUAAACUAGUAAGGUAUUUGAUUGUGUCUGCUCCUUACCGAUAGUACUGAAUUGAUUCAGUAUAUCAUGGGAAUUGAUUUAAUUCAAUUAUUGUAUCUAUACUUUGUGAUUUGGAAAUUAAUUUAAACAUAUAUGGUAAGUAAUAUGUGUUUAUUAUUCACUUUUAAACUAGUACCUCUCUUACUUAUCUAUUUAUGUUAAAUUAACUCUGAAUUGAUUCUGUUUAAUUUUGGAGAAUCCAGUAGUAUUUCGCAUAGGUUCUUACUUUUGGCAUGAUUUCGGCAAUCACUUGAUUUACCAAUUGAUUUACUUUAUUUAUUUAAGGCGGGCAAUUCCCUAAUUGAUUGGGAGAUUGAUUCUUUUCCUUUUAACGUCUGUACCCUUUCACUAUGUAAAGAAUCUCUUUUCUCAAUUAAAGGAGGACUCUUAAGCUACAAUUACAAUGACUACUACUACUCCCUUAAACAAAUAUCAGUUACUUUUAAUAUCAAACAAUUGGACACUUUGAAGGGUUUUUUAUUUUCCUUCGAGGCUUACGGAAAGCAUUUCGCAUAUUUCACCAUUACGUGUGCUUGAUUUUUUUUCUUAUUCUCUUUUACUGUUGUUCACUGGUACGUUCUCGAGUCGAUGCAAUUAUUUUAUUCUCUCUGCGUGUGUUGACUGGAUAAUAUUGUUGAAACCUUUAGGAACAUAUCUAUAGGAAUAUUUUGAUGUUUGUUCUUGUUUGUUUGCUAUUAUGUCUUGUUUCACAGGUUUAAGUAGACACUUACGAAGUUCCGAAGAGUCGCCAAAAUGUUGAACUAACUAUGUACUCUUUAUAGCUAGUCGGUUUUCUUUUUCUUAUUAUUUGGUUUGUAAUAUUAUUUGUAAAAAAUAUUAUUCAUUAUUUACGUGCUCUAUGAACGGUGUAGUAGGCACAAGUAAGAUUUUGCGUGUAUUACGUGCUACUUGAAUCACCUAGGCAUAAAAAAUUUAGGAUUUAUUAUCAUAUGCAAUG